UUUCUUGCCAGUAUCGAUACUUUUCUUCAAAACCCUGGUAUCGACAGUAUCGAGUAUUUGGUAUCGAUAUCGGCCCAUCCCUACUGGUUGACUGCUGCCGGUUUACGAAUCUACGGUUUUGCGAAGAAGCUUCGAAGUUUGGGCUGAGGGCCUUUCGUUAUUUUAUUACCGCAUUCAACAUGCCAGUCAAAGUGCACGUUGUCUACUGGUAAGGAAUACAGCUAAACAAUUUAUCUUGCAGUAUUGUGAAAGCAUGUUUUAAUUGAUACUUUUUCAGUGUGCAAUUGUCACAAUUUCACAACUGCCCUUACGUAAAUAGACCUUUAGAAAUCAAGCUAUUGUUGUUAAGCACAAGAGUUUAUGCUGCGGGGAAUUUAAAAUAGCUUCUAAUCGUAUGAAGGAGCAAAUUAACUGUAUAAAAAAUUGCGAAAUGAAUGUCUCGACCAGUUAACGUUCCAUGCCUGCGCAUACUCGCCCCCCCCCCCCCCCCCCCCNNNNNNNNNNNNNNNNNNNNCCCAGCAUUUUUAGGCAUUUGACAAUUGGGGGCGAAAAGUGUUGCAAAUGUGAAAUGCCCCAAAUAAUGAUGCAAAACCCCUACCCUUGGAGACUUCAACUGAUGCAAAUGCCCUUUAUACCAGAGUGCAUUCCAUGCACGUUUUGUGGAAGAUCUUCGGCGUGAGUUUUGAAUUGUUGGCGCACAAUCACGUCGAGGUUGGCGCACAAUUUUUGAGUUUUGGUGGUUGGCGCAGCAUCAAAUGUUUAAGCGAGACUUUGAGUAUUAAUAAUCGCCUGGUGAUUGGAUUGGCCUCUAUAAUUCUUUAGGGACUCGAGAAAUUUGUGUUCCUGGUCAGUGUAAUAUUACUAAAUGGUGGUUUAAUAAUUAACUUGUGAUACAACAGUAACAACACUCAUAAUUGCUCAGCAAAACAUCUUAUUCAUCAAUUACACACCUUUUUAGCAAGUUUUAAUUUUGAAAAACUUAUAACUAUUAAUGAAAAAUCACGGUGCGCACGAUCAGCCGGUACACAAGUUGACCUCACUUGGCGUACGGCAACACUACCUCAGAUUGGCCACCCUGGCCUUUAUAGCAAUUGCCAAAUUACUGUAACUGUUAAAAAAAUCUCUAGUUCACUGCAUGUUUCCAUUAAAAGUUCUGACCACUGAUCUAAUAACAGUGGUUCUGACAAAUAAGAUAUGCUGUAUCUCUCAUUCCCAAAUUUUAUCAUGUACAUGUAACGAAAAGUACUGUACUUAACAUAAUAAAAGAUUUCACCAUUUUGUUUGUGAAAAUUGGGAAAUGCAGCAGAACCUAUAUAAACUGCAAUAGUUAAGCUUACUAGUUGUAUUGCUGCAUCAGCAACUACAACCUCCAAAAGUAUGUCUUGGACCAUCAUGGAAUUGAUCGAAACAUAAUAAUUAGUAAUAUCAUCAGUUCGAAUAAAAAUGGUUGAACUGACAACACAGCAAUGAGUUUUUACUGUUUUACAUGCUACGUGUGAAAUUAGUCAGCACAUAAUUCAUAUAUUGGACAAAACCAAAUUAAAGUUUUAUAAAAUAAGCACCUGUGGGUUCAGCAUAGUCACUCAGAGCACUGUGCAUUCACAUUCCAACAAUAACUUGAUUUCUAAAAGUCCCAUUUUUUAUACACCCUGUAUAUAAAGGCCCAGGUCAAACGUUGCUCUUCUCGUGGGCCAAACCUAAUAGCUGUAUUGAUUGCUACACCAGAGUGGUCAUUUCAUUAGGCUAAGUUCAGAGAAUGGAUUAGGUGCGACCAUUUGGAGUGAUGUUGGAACGGCAGCUCUUGUCACGCUAAUUGUAACUUGUAGUGCUGCAUGAUGCUUCAGCUAACACAGUUCCUCUUCAUUUAGUUUUAUACAUGGUAAAAUUUAUUUUCACAUGUUUAUUCAGUUGCAUACAGCACACUGCUAGGGACCAGUCAUUUUGUUGGUAAAAAUAUUUGUUACUGAUCCAACCAUUAAAAAGGCAAAGAAUUUUGCCCAACCCAACCUCAAAUAACAAUUAAAAAAUACCAACCCUAUUUUUUUCUGCCGACCCUAUUAUUUUUUCUAGGGGUGCACCGGAUUUGGAAUUUUCAAACCCGGCCGGAACCGGAUUUGGACAAAAUGGUGGUUUAUGUUUUUUUAAAUCAAACACAAACCUUUUUUAAAUAUCAUUUUGUUAAUAACUUAAUAUUUUAUAAUAAUAUAAAUGCUUUUUAAACUUUAAAGCUGCCAAAUUGAUGGUUUAUUCCAUUCUUGGUGAAUUUUUUAAGGUGAAAACAGAAAUAAAUCCGGCCGGAUUUUCUCCAAAUCCGGCCGGAUGCCAGAAAAUUUGUUAUUAAAAAAAAUUAUUUCCAACCUACCGACCCUAAUUUUUUCGAGAUAUAAAACCGGAACCACAGGUAUUUUUUUAUGCCUAAUUACCCAACCUUUUACUCAAAAUUUUGUUUAUCCAACCCUUUCUCUUCAGUGCACCCCCCCCCCCCCCCCCCGGCCAUAAAUAACAACUGGUCCCUAAUCAUGUCAACCAGGCCGACUCUAAGCUCAAGUUGUAAUAUAAUUCCUUUCUUUGGCCAAAAAGUUAUAUAACUCUUUUAUUUUGUUUGUUGCAGUGGUGCCUGAGGGUGGAAGCCCAAGGUGAGAUAUCAUUAUUUUUCAGAAGUUUGUAUAGUGCUGUAGUUAUAGUUAACAGUGCUGUAAGUAACUUUGUUACAUUAGUAACAAAAUUCCAAGUAAUUGUUGUGUUUUCGGGUAACAGUAACAGUCUGUUGUGUUUUUGUUUUUGUCACAAACAUGAUUAUUCAUUGCCUGAGUUAGACACGAUCAUUGCUUGAUUAUUAACAAGCUCGUAUUUAUAUACGAAAUACACGGUUCAUGCCAUGAGACAUUCUUAGUUUAUUAAGCCGAUACACGCACGCAGUUCCGAUCUCCAAGUACACUUGCUCCAUUUAAAAACCAGGAGAAUUUUUCUCUUAAUGAUAUUCUGAACUGGAAUCCAUUUUAAUUAUAAAAAAUAACCGUAUAGAUAGUGUACGUGGGGGGGUGUAACAGAUGCCUCCAGAGUCAGAAUGACUAACAUUGUUAAUAUUUUUUUAUUUCAGUACGAUCGGCUAGCUGCUGAUCUAGUUGAUGAAUUUGGCAGUGAUGUGGAGUGUGUAAGUACUGUGUAUAAUUAUAUUGGUGUAUUAACAAUUCCUAGUUAAUAUAGGCAUGUGCUAAUAUUUCCGAAACCUGCCAUGUAAAUGCUUUCCAACAUACUGUACAGGUGGUAAAAUGUACAUGCAUGUUGCCCCCCAUAAAAGAUGGUGUAUCCUAUUCUCAAACUCAUUUAAUAGUUCAUGAAGGAAAUUCAAAAGAAAUGCAUAUUAAUUAUGUAUUUAGAAAUAAGAGGAAGAUUACAGCCGUUUUUCGUCAAAUUUAAACUCGAUUUUCUCUUGAAGUAUUGAUUCGUUUAAGAAGCUAUAUCCAACACUCGCAAAUGUUCUUCCUCUGAUUUCUAAAGCUGGUUAAAAAAACUCGGCUUCACCUCAUCUUUUCAACCUGCUUGUCUGUAUUUAGAAAUCAGAGGAAGAACACUGACUCAUGUUGGAUAUAGUACUUCUUUGUCACCAUAAGUAAAGAAAGUCUUAAGUUAACAAAAGUUAUGUUUUUUAAAUUACUUAUUUAGUAUUGUGUAUGUGUGAAUAAUUGUGAUUUCAAGAAUUGGAUAAAAUAGGUACAUUCAGCGAGUUUUUACUCAAAAUUCAGGACGACAGACUUGAAGCAGAAAUACAGUAUGUCAAAUCGCGCUACAAUGCUCUGAUAUCCCCUAACUUUUACUUAAUUAUUAGUCACAAAAGUGGAAUGGCUGCAAUAGCUAUUAGCUAAUGUACGUAAUUAGUUCAUGUGCGCAGAAUGUAAUUCAGUUAAAGUUAAGUAUUUUUAUAAUAACGAAGGUAUGCUCCUAAAGCUAUAUUGGUAAAGCUAUAUUGUAAUCUUUCCACAAAAUAUGAUGCAAACGCUGUUUUUUCUUGGCUAUACCUGGAUUUGUAAGCCAGCGGUCUGAAGAGUUUGAUUUUCUUCUCCGAUGUGCAAAUCUGCAGGGCGCGAUAAUUCGAGAUUUUUUGUCGUACCUGACUGGCACUUCAAUAAACUAUUGCCUCGUAUUUGAUCUGGUACAAACGUAAGACUGAAGGUGUACUUACUCUUUGAAAAGAUGUACAUAAAGUACACGUUUCUAAAAGGUAUUCAUUCAGUGACCUAAAACUACAACUUAGAACGACAACUUAGACUGGAAUUGGCUUCAACAUUCCUCAGUCCCAUUAGUCCUGCGGUCAUGUUUCAUGCCAAGACAUGUCAGACGUACCUGUAUACCGUUACGUAUACGGAUUUGAAUACCUUGGGCUUGGUAAGGUCCUAUGGUACCAAGCGAAAUGCAAGUACGCAGGUAGCAAGAGUUCCGCGUACCUACGUGGUAUACUUGGUUGAAAACAAAGAAGUACCAGACCGUAAUAUUGGCACCAGUACCUCCGGUAAGCAUAAGUACGCGAUUUAUCGCACCCCGAACUGCCUAAAGGUCCAGACACACCGGACGCGACCCGAUUUUUCGAUUUUCACUGACCGAUAACUUUGAUCCUGGUUUAAAUUUUCAAAAUAUUUAGAAGCGCUAUAACAUUUUGAGUUAUUUGGUCUACAUAUCUUUUAAAAUUUGCUCUCAUUGGCUGUUUCAUUAACUUUCAAAAACUAAAAAAUCGCGUCGCGUUGUCGAAUCGCGUCCGGUGUGUCUGGACCUUAAAAGUCCUAUCACAUGCACGUGUGAACGUGCAAAAAUUUGCUGCAUCACAUCAGUCGGUUCCUCCCGAUUCAUUCACCACUUUGGGCAGUUCAUUUCUGGAUGACUAAUGGAAAGUAAAAUCGCAUGAUAUAGAAGUAAUUCAACGAUAUUAUUAUUAGUAAAUUUUGAGCAAAAACUCUCUAAAGACUAAACGUAACUAUUUUUCUAAUCCUUGACUUGAAAUCACAAUUCUUAUUCACACAUGCACAAAACAAGUAAAUUCAAAAACAUAUAACUUUUGUUAAGACUUUCUUUUCUUAUGGCUACAAAAAACAGGAUAUACCAUUUUCAUUGGAGGGGUGGGGACUUUUUAAUGUCCACUCCCUGUAGGCUUUUCAACAAAGGAUUGAUCAUGAAGGCCUUUUCGCCAGGAUAGCCAUUGUAACAAUAUCAAGAAUGCAAUAGCAAUAUGGCGGAUUAGAAAAGUAAGAGAACAUACUGCUUGAAAUAAAUACAAAUAUAAUAAUGUCAAACACAGAUAAACACUAUUUAUAAACGUCUUCCUUAACAAUUAAGAGGAGAUUUUUUGUAUGUUACGUAACACGUGCUCAAAACUAAUGCGUAUAAUAUACCACUUGAGGUUAUGACUAACUUCAAAAUUUUAGUUUUUCGAUACGUUUCUCAAUUGAUAAUUGUAUUUUAAUUAACAAUUUUUAACUAUUAUUUUAUGUUUCUCAACCGGCAGAUGCAUUUAAAAAGGUUGCUAACUCUAUAAACUACACUCUAAAAACACUCUGGUUAAAUUCAACCAGGAAUUGGGUUAAUAAUCCACCCAACACAUUCUGGUUAAAUUUAACCCAUUUCCUGGUUAAAAAUUAUCAAUUCAACAAAAAUUUGGUACACUUUUUUGGACUUUUAACCAGGAAAAUGGUUAAUUUUUUUUAACCAGAUUUGUGUAGGUGGAUUUUUAACCCCGUACUGGUUGAAUUAACCCAAAUUUAACCAGAGUGUUUUUAGAGUGUAGAGAAUGAAGCUAAAACAAAGUAAUUUUGAGAGGAACGCCAAAGAGAUUUUAGGUUUGAAACACUUUAAUUUCAUUGCAAAUACGUGACAUUGAAAAAAAGCACUCUUAAUGGUUAAGAUUUAAACCAAGCGAAGCAGCGAUAAAAACGAAUCGCAAGUCCUUGACGUUGAAUAACGUCAAAGAGUUGAAAGUUCAGCAGGAGAGUUUUCGGUCAGUGCUUUUCUGUGCAUUCUCAUUUUUAAGUAAGUGAAUUGUAGACUCGUUUGUAUGUUACAAAGCGUGCCGCCAUUUUGUUUUUUAAAAUUUUAAAUCAUUAAUUGCACUCCUGGUGAGUGGUGAGUGCAAUUAAUGAAAAAUUACACUCCUCUUAAACAAUCAAAUUGCAGUAAUUUUGUCAUAUAUAAUAAUAAACCUCGAAAGAAAAAACUUCAAAUCAUAAUUUUGUUUACCAUGCAAAAGGUCCUUUGCGGCCAGCCCAAGAAAAAUGCUGUUCCGUUUGUCUUCUUUAGUUUAUAAAUCUCACAGGUCUUUAUCCUUUUCAAACAAGUAUUGUUCUCAACUAUUUUUAUUAAACCAUCAGGUUUACCCCAUUCAAUGUCUGAGUGUGUUUAAUUUAAAAAGGAUUUUUUUAUUAGAGCGGAGAAGGGACCCCAACAAUUACUGGAUGGUUUGAAGUGAAUGUUGAUGGAAAACUUGUUCAUUCGAAAAAG
This 6486-nucleotide long non-coding RNA is filed under the name Paramuricea clavata. Lineage: Eukaryota; Metazoa; Cnidaria; Anthozoa; Malacalcyonacea; Plexauridae. The record is from RNAcentral.